This 466-nucleotide ribosomal RNA is filed under the name uncultured bacterium. RNAcentral describes it as "partial 16S ribosomal RNA". It matches the Rfam family "Bacterial small subunit ribosomal RNA", at positions 28 to 507 of the family's 1533-position model. The record is from RNAcentral.
GAUGAACGCUGGCGGCGUGCUUAACACAUGCAAGUCGAACGGAAAGGCCCAAGCUUGCUUGGGUACUCGAGUGGCGAACGGGUGAGUAACACGUGGGUGAUCUGCCCCGCACUUCGGGAUAAGCCUGGGAAACUGGGUCUAAUACCGGAUAGGACCACUUCUUGGAGGUUGUGGUGGAAAGUUUUUUCGGUGUGGGAUGAGCUCGCGGCCUAUCAGCUUGUUGGUGGGGUAAUGGCCUACCAAGGCGUCGACGGGUAGCCGGCCUGAGAGGGUGUACGGCCACAUUGGGACUGAGAUACGGACCAGACUCCUACGGGAGGCAGCAGUGGGGAAUAUUGCACAAUGGGCGCAAGCCUGAUGCAGCGACGCCGCGUGGGGGAUGACGGCCUUCGGGUUGUAAACUCCUUUCGCUAGGGACGAAGCGCAAGUGACGGUACCUAGAGAAGAAGCACCGGCUAACUACGUG